Molecule: long non-coding RNA, 2216 nt
Organism: Strongylocentrotus purpuratus (purple sea urchin)
Lineage: Eukaryota; Metazoa; Echinodermata; Echinoidea; Camarodonta; Strongylocentrotidae
Exons: 6
Source: RefSeq, a predicted model, not a curated record
AAGAAGUAAAAAAAAAGCACCAUUAAAUUUGAUGACAAAUGGGGGCUCAGCCUCAGGAAAAAAAACUGCUCCCCCCCCCCUCGCGUCUCAAUAUCUCUUCUUUGUCUUUCUCCUUCCAUAGUCCAUACCCACAUCUAUACAGCUAGUCUAUAUGUUAUAAAUUCAUAUGUUGAAAAUUUCUCAAAGAAAAGCAGACACUACAUGGUUUAUUGUUCAGUCUUCAGUUCUUUAUUCCAUUGAGAACGUCCUGUAUACAUAUUGUUCAUUGUCUGUUCUCUGAGUACAUAUAUUUUAAAAAGCAGAUGUGAUGUUUCAGACCAUAAGGUCUAAAUUUUUUACUUCCUGUUUUAUUGCACAAGGAUAAUAUGAUUGAUUAGUGUCUACAAACUUGUCUGAGUUGUCACCGCAAUGCUAACCAGUUGGGAGUAGACUAGUUCUUCGCCAAAGCCUGGACCUGACAGUGGGCCGACAGACCACGGGAACAAGAAUAGAACGAAUGUAUUCAGACUGAAAUGGACCAACAAGGGCAACCUGUAUCACAUAGUGGCAGGAUUGGACCAAGCCAAGUGGGAUCUACAAACUCAAGUGGAACACAUAUGACAGGUUGGCCAACAACAUUGUAGCAUGAAGCUUCUUGCAACAGCUUCACUGGCUGACUCUCAUCAGGAUAAAGAGUGACGAAGCAGGAGAGCUGUUCCAGAAAAUCUUUCUCCUCGGAUUCUGCUUCAGUGAUUUUUCUCUGUAGAGAUUGGUGCUGGAUGAGGCAUGCAAGUCCUUGCAGGUUCACUUCAGGAAUUCUGAAGAGGGGCUCCCUCACUACAUUGAAGUGUAGCUUAGCCACUUCGUCUGUCUUAAAUUCCUCUAGGUUCUUCUGCAGACUUGACAAAGUUCUGGAUGGACUGGGUCCCCGGACAUGUUGAGGAACCACCAUCUGAGCCUUGGCGAUUUCACAAUAUAGACAGCAGUGCCGUCCUAAGGAUCUUUCUGUGUCUUGUCCAGCUGAGACCAAGUCCAACCUUCAAGUCCAGCAUUUCACCAUCUGGAAUCCGAAUGGAUGUGCCAGUCAUUAGUGAGUCCAGAUCUGAUGCUAGUUUCCGGAACUUUACCUCAUGGGUUAGUUGGGCUGAUGUUGCUCCUCCACUCGUUAAGUCACGAGCCUGCAGCAACGUCUCUGAGCGAUGUCUUAAUGUUGAUGGAGCACAUUGAUCUGAAGAAACUUGGGCUUUGUGCAUAAGCACUGUUACUAGUGGCUUGUUAAAAAAAGACAGAUCAGAUAUGCCAUUAGUUUAUUUUGGCUGAAAAAGGGGGAUGUUGAAUACUUGUCCGUCAAAUUAUAUCAUAUUUUAGUAACAGUGUGGCCAAAUUAGGCGUGGGGGGGGGGUGGUGGUUGCUACAGAAUAUUUUAAAUACAUUCCUGCAUAUAAGGAAAGAACACCCACUGCUAUAUAUUUCUUAUUUUUCUUUUUCUGGGCUGCCAAAGGAGGGGGGGGGGGAGAGGGCAUAUGCAUAACAAAAGGGAGGCUUGAUUUUUAAUCUAUUUAUUACUUGAUCGAGAUAUUUUGGAUGUGUGUUGCAACUUAAUAAAUUUGAACAUACACAUAUUGUAUUGUACACAUUUUUAAAAUUACAGUCCACUUCAAUUAUUAGGAGGAUUUCAGGACCAAGCCAAUUUAUAAACAAAAUUUUGUUUUUCUGAACACAUAGACACAUGUGCGCAGGUUUGAAUUCGGAAUUGGGAAAACUGCCUCGUUUUAAUGAGAUCUUGUUGUAUCAGCGCUCGUUAUGAUUGAAGUAGACUGUAUAUACUUUUCUUGAGAACCUAUCAUGAUCGUAUGAAUAAAAUAUAAAGUGAAAAUCCAUUUUAAGUUAGUUAUGAAACACAUUUUAUUAUAAAAAAUAUAAUUGCUCAGAAAUUUUUAUCCUCGAACAUGUAAUGUAGAUAAUUAAUACAUAUAUAAAGAGAUCUGAUGUAAAGAAAUACCUGAUAUAAAAGCUAAUUUCUAUGGUCAAAAUGAAAUCAAUUUGCUUUGUUUUGUAUUGACUACUGAUAUAACAAGAUACCUGGUACAUGUAAAACAAGCAAACUUUGUCCAGUUCCGAGGACCUCAUUUUGGGAUUUUCCACUGAAGGCUUAUAUUAAUUUAGUGAAUACGCAGAUCUUGUAUGAAUCAUGCAUUAUAAUAAAAUUAGAAUCAUAUUAAUUUUAUGAAUACAUA